GGGGAUGUGGCUCAAAUGGUAGAGCACCUAUUUAGCAAACACUAGGCCCUGAGCUCAAAUCUCAGUACCACCA
This 73-nucleotide transfer RNA is filed under the name Dipodomys ordii (Ord's kangaroo rat). It matches the Rfam family "tRNA". From Rfam's summary of the family: Transfer RNA (tRNA) molecules are approximately 80 nucleotides in length. Their secondary structure includes four short double-helical elements and three loops (D, anti-codon, and T loops). Further hydrogen bonds mediate the characteristic L-shaped molecular structure. tRNAs have two regions of fundamental functional importance: the anti-codon, which is responsible for specific mRNA codon recognition, and the 3' end, to which the tRNAs corresponding amino acid is attached (by aminoacyl-tRNA synthetases). tRNAs cope with the degeneracy of the genetic code in two manners: having more than one tRNA (with a specific anti-codon) for a particular amino acid; and 'wobble' base-pairing, i.e. permitting non-standard base-pairing at the 3rd anti-codon position. Lineage: Eukaryota; Metazoa; Chordata; Mammalia; Rodentia; Heteromyidae. The record is from Rfam by way of RNAcentral.